AGCAGCCGCGGUAAUUCCAGCUCCAAUAGCGUAUAUUAAAGUUGUUGCAGUUAAAAAGCCCGUAGUUGAAUUUUGGGUCUGGCCGGGCGGUCCGCCCUCUGGGUGAGCACUGUUCCGACGCCGGGCCUAUCCUUCUGGUGAGUCGGCAUGUCCUUUAUUAGGUGUGCCGGGGAACCAGGACCAUUACCUUGAAAAAAUUAGAGUGUUCAAAGCAGGCGUAUGCUCGGAUACAUUAGCAUGGAAUAAUGAAAUAGGACGCGUGGUGCUAUUUUGUUGGUUUCUAGAACCGCCGUAAUGAUUAAUAGGGAUAGUUGGGGGCAUUAGUAUUCAAUUGUCAGAGGUGAAAUUCUUGGAUUUAUUGAAGACUAACUUCUGCGAAAGCAUUUGCCAAGGAUGUUUUCAUUAAUCAAGAACGAAAGUUAGGGGAUCGAAGACGAUCAGAUACCGUCGUAGUCCUUAACCAUAAACUAUGCCGACUAGGAAUCCGGGNGACUGUUAUUCUUCAUGACUUCGCCCGGCG
Molecule: ribosomal RNA, 520 nt
Filed under: uncultured Ambispora
Lineage: Eukaryota; Fungi; Glomeromycota; Glomeromycetes; Archaeosporales; Ambisporaceae
Description: SSU rRNA
Rfam family: Eukaryotic small subunit ribosomal RNA
Source: RNAcentral